AUUGAACGCUGGCGGCAUGCUUUACACAUGCAAGUCGAACAGCAGCACGGGAGCAAUCCUGGUGGCGAGUGGCGAACGGGUGAGUAAUAUAUCGGAACGUGCCCAGUCGUGGGGAUAACGUAGCGAAAGCUACGCUAAUACCGCAUACGAUCUAUGGAUGAAAGCGGGGGAUCGCAAGACCUCGCGCGAUUGGAGCGGCCGAUAUCAGAUUAGGUAGUUGGUGGGGUAAAAGCCUCCCAAGCCUUCGAUCUGUAGCUGGUCUGAGAGGACGACCAGCCACACUGGAACUGAGACACGGUCCAGACUCCUACGGGAGGCAGCAGUGGGGAAUUUUGGACAAUGGGCGCAAGCCUGAUCCAGCAAUGCCGCGUGCAGGAUGAAGGCCUUCGGGUUGUGAACUGCUUUUGUACGGAACGAAACGGUUCUCUCUAAUACAGGGGGCUAAUGACGGUACCGUAAGAAUAAGCACCGGCUAACUACGUG
Molecule: ribosomal RNA, 483 nt
Filed under: uncultured bacterium
Lineage: Bacteria
Description: bacterial SSU rRNA
Rfam family: Bacterial small subunit ribosomal RNA
Source: RNAcentral